GAUCAUGGCUCAGGAUGAACGCUAGCUACAGGCUUAAUACAUGCAAGUUGAGGGGCAGCAUGGUCUUAGCUUGCUAAGGCCGAUGGCGACCGGCGCACGGGUGAGUAACGCGUAUCCAACCUGCCUUACACUCUUGGACAGCCUUCUGAAAGGGAGAUUAAUACAAGAUGUUACCAUGAGUAAGCAUUUUCGCAUGAUUAAAGGUUUACCGGUGUAAGAUGGGGAUGCGUU
This 231-nucleotide ribosomal RNA is filed under the name uncultured bacterium. Its description in RNAcentral is "partial 16S ribosomal RNA". It matches the Rfam family "Bacterial small subunit ribosomal RNA", at positions 15 to 237 of the family's 1533-position model. The record is from RNAcentral.